CCUACGGGAGGCAGCAGUGGGGAAUAUUGCACAAUGGGGGGAACCCUGAUGCAGCGACGCCGCGUGGGUGAAGGAGUAUUUCGGUAUGUAAAGCCCUAUCAGCAGGGAAGCACAAUGACGGUACCUGACUAAGAAGCACCGGCUAAAUACGUGCCAGCAGCCGCGGUAAUACGGAUGGUGCAAGCGUUAUCCGGAUGUACUGGGUGUAAAGGGAGCGCAGGCGGCGCGUUAAGCCUGGUGUGAAAGUCCGCGGCUCAACCGCGGGACUGCAUUGGGAACUGGCGCGCUGGAGUGCCGGAGGGGUAGGCGGAAUUCCUAGGGUAGCGGUGAAAUGCGUAGAUAUUAGGAGGAACACCAGUGGCGAAGGCGGCCUACUGGACGGUGACUGACGCUGAGGCUCGAAAGCGUGGGGAGCAAACAGGAUUAGAGACCCUGGUAGUC
Molecule: ribosomal RNA, 441 nt
Filed under: uncultured bacterium
Lineage: Bacteria
Description: partial 16S ribosomal RNA
Rfam family: Bacterial small subunit ribosomal RNA
Source: RNAcentral